RNAcentral lists this transfer RNA (71 nucleotides) under Marmota monax (woodchuck). RNAcentral's name for it is "tRNA.Ala". It matches the Rfam family "tRNA". Rfam says of the family: Transfer RNA (tRNA) molecules are approximately 80 nucleotides in length. Their secondary structure includes four short double-helical elements and three loops (D, anti-codon, and T loops). Further hydrogen bonds mediate the characteristic L-shaped molecular structure. tRNAs have two regions of fundamental functional importance: the anti-codon, which is responsible for specific mRNA codon recognition, and the 3' end, to which the tRNAs corresponding amino acid is attached (by aminoacyl-tRNA synthetases). tRNAs cope with the degeneracy of the genetic code in two manners: having more than one tRNA (with a specific anti-codon) for a particular amino acid; and 'wobble' base-pairing, i.e. permitting non-standard base-pairing at the 3rd anti-codon position. The record is from RNAcentral. Lineage: Eukaryota; Metazoa; Chordata; Mammalia; Rodentia; Sciuridae.
GGGGCUGUAGCUCAGUGGCAGAGCACUUGCCUUGCAAGCAUGACGCACUGGGUUCAAUCCUCAGCACCACA